Molecule: long non-coding RNA, 1546 nt
Organism: Rosa rugosa (rugosa rose)
Lineage: Eukaryota; Viridiplantae; Streptophyta; Magnoliopsida; Rosales; Rosaceae
Exons: 5
Source: RefSeq, a predicted model, not a curated record
GCAGCAUCUCAGUUUCCGAAAUUUUUUACUCUUGGACCCCUCAUCUCAGCAACCAACUGUGAGAGUUAUUAUCAUUUAUCCAUGGUGGGAUUUCUAUACCUUGAAGUAGGAUGAAAGCUUUAUCUUCGGUGGGCUAGACUUGGAAAUAUGAAAAAGGAAGGUCCAUGUUUGUAGUGAUCGAGAGUUUUAUAAUAGGAUACUUGGGACAGAUAGCAUUUUCUUGUGUAAUAAUUGAGAUGGCCUUUGCAAGUACAACAGAGAGUGAAAAGGGGGGAGAUUGGCCAAGAUGUGGUAUGCAAUAUCAUAGUCAUUCAAUUCCAUCUCAGGUGCUUUUCUGCAAGCUCUGCCACUUCCCUGUCAUUGUUAUCCAUAUAUUGGGUCUCUCUAUAUAUAAUUGUACUGAAGUCAAGUGUUGGGAGCUAAGAAAUGUCUCAUGGCUGAUCGACAGGGGAAACAUCUUCUAUUUCAGGGCCAUUAUCUAAGAGCUAUUGGAUUAGUUUCUUGUAACUUGGCCAGUGUGCUCUGUUUCAUUAUAUAUGUUAUGAAUUUUGUAUGCUAAUCCUUCCUAAUGUUGGCUGCAGAUGGACCAAGUGGAUACUAGUAUUGAAUUUCUAUUUUCCAUUUGCACGUGUCAACCUCCGGAACCUCUUCUAAUCAAAGCUUCUUGUGUUUCUUGAGCUCUCUAGAUGUUAUGCAAUGCUGCUAGCCUACCAGUGAAAGUCUGAAGGAACUAUAAAUUCAUUAACUGUAAUCUUGGUGCUGUGUUCGGGCGUGCAAAAGAUAACAUGAGGACCAACAGUGUUGCACCUUCAUCAAAGGAAUUACGCAGACGCAAUGGAAACCCUUCUCUUCAGUUCACGCAGACGCGGCUAGGAGCACAGACGCACUUGAAUAUCUCCGUCUCUCUUUCCGACUGGCGUCACAUCUCUCCUUAAUCCUCUGGCCUCUCUUUCUUCUGUCCUCGUCAAUCAACAUCACGGUUCCGGGUUUGAAAUCGAAGCCUCAAUCAAGCAACGCGGCUUGGCAAUUUGAUUCAGGGUUUUCGUUGGGAUCGACAAUGGUAAGUAGUAAACUACAAAGGGAGGGCAUAUACUCAAAGGGUUGAACCAAAGCUUACUUGGUUGAGGUACAGCUGCCAAAUGAGGCAUUCUUAGAGAAUUGGGAACCUACUAAAAGCUCUUAUCUUGGGCUUUGGGAAUCCAAUCGUCCAUCGCAUCAUUCUAAGGUUCCUUUACUGUUACUGUGUAUGGUGUUUUCGUACCCCGACAUGUAUUCUAUCAUCUUCAUGCUUUGUAUGCAUAUCUGUGGUGCCUCUAUGUUGCCCUUUGCGUGCUAGUCAUGUGGCCUUCAUUUGAUGUAAUACUAGUAGAUCAGGUUUCUGUUGUCAUCCCAUUGCUGAAGCUGAAGAAGUCAGCAAAGGUAUUUACACCUGGAGAUUUGUGUUUUAAAGCUAUGAACAUCUGGAGAUUUGUGUUUUAAAGCUAUGAACUGACAAGUGGGUUUGCUGAGAAAUCAAACAUAUUUGUGUGGCUCUGAUUCCUUUCUU